GACGAACGCUGGCGGCGUGCCUAAUACAUGCAAGUUGAGCGCUGAAGGUUGGUACUUGUACCAACUGGAUGAGCAGCGCACGGGUGAGUAACGCGUGGGGAAUCUGCCUUUGAGCGGGGGACAACAUUUGGAAACGAAUGCUAAUACCGCAUAAAAACUUUAAACACAAGUUUUAAGUUUGAAAGAUGCAAUUGCAUCACUCAAAGAUGAUCCCGCGUUGUAUUAGCUAGUUGGUGAGGUAAAGGCUCACCAAGGCGAUGAUACAUAGCCGACCUGAGAGGGUGAUCGGCCACAUUGGGACUGAGACACGGCCCAAACUCCUACGGGAGGCAGCAGUAGGGAAGCUUCGGCAAUGGACGAAAGUCUGACCGAGCAACGCCGCGUGAGUGAAGAAGGGUUUCGGAUCGUAAAACUCUGUUGGUAGAGAAGAACGUUGGUGAGAGUGGAAAGCUCAUCAAGUGACGGUAACUACCCAGAAAGGGACGGCUAACUACGUG
RNAcentral lists this ribosomal RNA (497 nucleotides) under uncultured bacterium. RNAcentral describes it as "partial 16S ribosomal RNA". It matches the Rfam family "Bacterial small subunit ribosomal RNA", at positions 28 to 507 of the family's 1533-position model. The record is from RNAcentral.